Molecule: ribosomal RNA, 402 nt
Filed under: Triticum aestivum (bread wheat)
Lineage: Eukaryota; Viridiplantae; Streptophyta; Magnoliopsida; Poales; Poaceae
Description: partial small subunit ribosomal RNA
Source: RNAcentral
AUGGAGUUCCUGAUGCAACCUAUAAACAGAACACUGCUAGAGGAGGUGAACGAAAAUAACAGCAAUAUGGAGCCGAUGCGGUUCCCGGUGAGCGCGCCGACAGAGGUUGAGCUGCCAGCCCAGGCAGCUUCAAGUGCGGACGGCCAGAACUGCCCUGAAGACGCCGCUGCAGAGGCAAGAAGUGCAAGCAAGGCUCAGUGUUCAGAGCAAUUGAUAGAACAAUUGGACCCAAAAACCCCAGGCUGGACACAAAGAGUGUGUGUGGGUGCUGCUGCUCCAGGCAGGGCUCCUCGUGCAGACAGGGUGACAGCGUUCGAAAAGACCGUUCGACAAUUUGCAGAGGAUCUAGGGGACAUUGUCAUAGUUCCAAAAGAUAGGAACAAGUUUGGACAGUCUUGGUGA